AACGGAGGAGCCCAGAGCCUCAGCCCAGGGAGGGUUGCUGUUUAAACAUUGGCCAAUUUACCAAGGAUUUCAGAUAUUUGCUGGACAUUUUAAGGGGUUAACCUGAUCACAGACAGCACACCCAAAGAAAUGAGGAAACCGGGAUGAGAUUCCAUUUUGCCCAAAGACAUCCAGCCAGAAAUUAGAGGAGCUGGAGCUUGGACCCAGGUCUGACUCCAGGAAAAAUUCUCCCCUGGAGGGGUGGCUCAGAAACCAUUCUAAACACAGCAAGUAAAACAAGUGAGGCCCAGAGAAGGGGAGAGACUUAUGCAAGGAUGACACAGGGAGUGAAAGGCAGAGCUGAGAAAAUCCCUUCCUCCAGCUGGACGUGUGUGGCUGAUCCCAAGUGGCAGAAGGGUCAGGUUCAGGAUUCUUACUUUCAAAAAUAGGGAAAAGAUGUUUGCACCAUGACUGAGCAUUUUCUACGUACCAAGGCUCCUUUACCAUCAUUCCAUCUAAUCACAACAAGUGCGUCAUGAAGAAGAGACGACCACCUCUACCUUACAGAUCAGGAAAAUCAGGUUCACCAGAAAGAAACAGAAAUUUUGCCACCUCCUGUAUCUCCCCUUCCAUUGGAACGUUUCUUCGAUGGAAUCCAGAAGUUCCUUUAUAGUUGUGUUCUCAGGGCUUGGUGAUGCCGUCUUCCCAACUGAAGGCUUUCAGAAAUUAUAAGGAGCAGUUAGCUUUAUCAUGCUGGUGGAAUUUGCCCUCCUUGGGGCUUUUGUCUCCUCAAUAAAAAAUGUCACCUCAUGCUUGAGACCCAGGUUUGACCCCUAGUUCAGAAAGAUCCCCUGGAGAAGGGAAUGGCGACCCAUUCCAGUAGUCUUGCCUGGAGAAUUCCAAGGAUGGAGGAGCCUGGCGGGUUAUAGUCCAUGGGGAUCGCAAAGAGUCAGACCCGACUGAGUAGCUAACCCUUUCACUUUCAUGCUUGAAGAGCACCCCUCUCCCUAAUGUGCCCAAGCAACCUUCAGGAUGCUCUGCUGCCACCUGGACACUAACCCGGAAAGGGGAGAAGACUCAACUCCUUAGCAGCAUUCCUUCCAUUUAGACCAGUGGACCUCAUCUUGGCUCUGUAAUAUAUGAAGAU
Long non-coding RNA from Bos taurus (domestic cattle), 1126 nucleotides. The record is from Ensembl. Lineage: Eukaryota; Metazoa; Chordata; Mammalia; Artiodactyla; Bovidae.